Molecule: ribosomal RNA, 346 nt
Filed under: Epiperipatus sp. n. ony112
Lineage: Eukaryota; Metazoa; Onychophora; Udeonychophora; Euonychophora; Peripatidae
Description: partial large subunit ribosomal RNA
Rfam family: Bacterial large subunit ribosomal RNA (bases 221-346)
Source: RNAcentral
AGACUGGAAUGAAUGGAAAAAUGGGGCAAUACUUUCUUUAAUUAAAAAUUAAAAAUAAAUUUUUUAGUGAAGAAGCUAAAAUGAAUUUAAGGGACGAGAAGACCCUAUUAAGCUUAAUAAGAUUAUUUUGUUGGGGAAACAAAAGAAUAAAAUUUCUUUUUUUAGAAGAAUUGAUAAAUGGAGAUUUAACAUUGUUAAUGUUAGAGUAAGUUACUAUAGGGAUAACAGCAUAAUCUCUUUGAAAAGUACUUAUUGAUAAAGUGGAUUAUGACCUCGAUGUUGGAUUAAAAAAAUUGUAUUAUGCAGUUGUUAUAUAAAUUAGUCUGUUCGACUAUUAAAUUUUUAC